This 468-nucleotide ribosomal RNA is filed under the name uncultured bacterium. RNAcentral's name for it is "partial 16S ribosomal RNA". It matches the Rfam family "Bacterial small subunit ribosomal RNA", at positions 28 to 507 of the family's 1533-position model. The record is from RNAcentral.
GACGAACGCUGGCGGCGUGCUUAACACAUGCAAGUCGAACGGAAAGGCCCUGCUUUUGUGGGGUGCUCGAGUGGCGAACGGGUGAGUAACACGUGAGUGACCUGCCCUUGACUUUGGGAUAACUUCAGGAAACUGGGGAUAAUACCGGAUAGGAGCUCCUGCUGCAUGGUGGGGGUUGGAAAGUUUCGGCGGUUGGGGAUGGACGCGCGGCUUAUCAGCUUGUUGGUGGGGUAGUGGCUUACCAAGGCUUUGACGGGUACCCGGCCUGAGAGGGUGACCGGCCACAUUGGGACUGAGAUACGGCCCAGACGCCAACGGGGGACAGCAGUCGGAAAUAUGACACAAUGGGCGGGAGCCUGAUGCAGCAACGCCGCGUGCGGGAUGACGGCCUUCGGGUUGUAAACCGCUUUCGCCUGUGACGAAGCGUGAGUGACGGUAAUGGGUAAAGAAGCACCGGCUAACUACGUG